Molecule: long non-coding RNA, 211 nt
Filed under: Panax ginseng (ginseng)
Lineage: Eukaryota; Viridiplantae; Streptophyta; Magnoliopsida; Apiales; Araliaceae
Description: long non-coding RNA (PGIN_LNC011946)
Source: RNAcentral
GAGGGACUAGGCCUUUGGCCUUGUGAGGGCUGGUUUGUGGGCUAAAUUUACAGCUGUGAUGGUCUCGAUUUCUGGGCUAAGCUGUUAGGUAGUUGCUAAUUUUCCUAAGAUUUUGACUCUGUCUUAGUCUGAUGGCUAGUUAUUAUGCAGACAUUCUAUGUUUUGAAGUAGUGUUCAGCUAAUUUUAGGCUAGAGUGUUGUUGAUUUCCUU